Leopardus geoffroyi (Geoffroy's cat) is the source of this 657-nucleotide long non-coding RNA. RefSeq lists it as uncharacterized. Lineage: Eukaryota; Metazoa; Chordata; Mammalia; Carnivora; Felidae. The record is from RefSeq and is a predicted model, not a curated record. The transcript has 6 exons.
UUGUAUUUCUCAUAUUUAUAUCACAAAUUAGGAAGAACUUGGCUAGAAAUAGCUAAGGUUCUGCUGAGAAGAGGAUUUAACUGGGAAUGUGCUCUUGGAAUUUCUGAAUUUGAAGAAGUAUGAUUGCUGAAAGCAUACCAAGUGUUUAAAAGGACUAACUCAUGAGAUGAUAUGACGCCUGGGCAGCACCAGAAUUGUUAAAAAUGGACUGACAGAAAUGUAUCUGUAGUGACUCUUUUCCUACUUCAGCCUUCAAAGGAACACAGGUUAUGCUUCCUCUCCAGGUGAGAUGACUUGGGAAUCUGCAGGGAAAGGAGACUUUGCAUGUGUAAGGCUGAAGAACCUUUACCAGGAAACUUGAAAAACAAAAUCUCAAAUCAACAAAAACAAAACAAAACAGAAAGGAUUUUCUGAAGACAAAAUUAUUUAUUGUAUAUAUGGUUAGAUGAAAGUUGCCCAUGGGGUUUCUGACCUCAAUGCAAUUUUAUGCUUUCAAUGGAUUGUUGACGUGGAAAAAGGUCUUAAUGAAGCAGAAACCACAUUUCAUGCCUUUGGUCCAGAAGAAGGGGCUGGCUGACACGGAAAUAAUAUGCCUCAGGAAACAAAUUUAUUUUUCAAGACUUCUGAGGCAGUUGUAUCGGUGCUAUAUAGCAUUUA